CAGCUUGGUCGGGCCCAUGUUCUGGCCGUUUAUGUAAACUUCCGGCGGCGUAUCGAUCCGCGGAUUAGCCACUUCAAAUGUGAGCAGGGCCAUGAGUGGUUCCGAUUCAAUCCCGAACUGAAACGCCGCGCCUUCAGGCAAAGUCGUCCCGAUGCGGAUUGUUUCGGGCGACAACGUCGCCUUCACCGCACCGAAUUGCUCGAUAUCCUGGAUAGGAGCGUGCAAUGGUG
RNAcentral lists this unclassified non-coding RNA (230 nucleotides) under fungal sp. Its description in RNAcentral is "partial internal transcribed spacer region". Lineage: Eukaryota; Fungi. The record is from RNAcentral.